GAUGAAGAACGUAGCGAAAUGCGAUACUUGGUGUGAAUUGCAGAAUCCCGUGAACCAUCGAGUCUUUGAACGCAAGUUGCGCCUCAAGCCAUUAGGUUGAGGGCACGUCUGCCUGGGCGUCACAUAUCGUUGCCUGAUGCCAGUUUCCUCGUGAUGGGUGACUGUGCAGGGCGAAUGAUGGCUUCCCGUGAGCAUUGUUGCCUCAUGGUUGGUUGAAAAUUGAGUCCUUGGUAGGGAGCGCCGUGAUAGAUGGUGGUUGAGUGACGAACGAGACCCAAUCAUGUGAGACCCCUACCGAAUUUGGCCUUCAUGACCCACAUGCGUCUUUGGAACGCUCAUGACGAGACCUCAGGUCAGGCGGGGCUACCAGCUGAGUUUAAGCAUAUCAAUAAGCGGAGGA
Molecule: unclassified non-coding RNA, 400 nt
Filed under: soil metagenome
Description: partial contains 5.8S ribosomal RNA, internal transcribed spacer 2, and large subunit ribosomal RNA
Rfam family: 5.8S ribosomal RNA (bases 1-122)
Source: RNAcentral